This 441-nucleotide ribosomal RNA is filed under the name Triticum aestivum (bread wheat). RNAcentral describes it as "partial small subunit ribosomal RNA". Lineage: Eukaryota; Viridiplantae; Streptophyta; Magnoliopsida; Poales; Poaceae. The record is from RNAcentral.
AUGCCGGAGGGUGUAAAUGAUACAUCUAUUGUGUUAAUCCCCGAAGUUCCUCACCCCAAGGAGCUAAAGGAUUUCCGGCCAAUAAGUUUGUGCAAUGUGGUAUACAAUAUUGUGUCGAAGUGCAUGGUGAAUAGGUUGCGGCCGAUGCUUAAUGAACUCAUCUCAGAGAACCAGAGCGCUUUCAUCCCAGGGAGACUCAUCUCUGAUAAUUCUAUCAUUGCUUUCGAGUGUAUUCACCAUAUUCAAUCAGUGAAGGAGAACUCCCCGGCUUUGUGUGCUUAUAAACUGGAUCUCUCCAAGGCCUACGAUCGUGUGGACUGGGACUUUCUUCAGAAGGCCCUUGUGAAUUGGGGUUUCUUGGACAUCUGGAUUUCGAGAGUGAUGGCUUGUGUUACUUCUGUCAAAUACUCAGUAAAGUUUAAUGGCAAGUUACUGGAAUAA